AAAUUGAAGAGUUUGAUCAUGGCUCAGAUUGAACGCUGGCGGCAGGCCUAACACAUGCAAGUCGAACGGUAACAGGAAGCAGCUUGCUGCUUCGCUGACGAGUGGCGGACGGGUGAGUAAUGUCUGGGAAACUGCCUGAUGGAGGGGGAUAACUACUGGAAACGGUAGCUAAUACCGCAUAAYGUCGCAAGACCAAAGAGGGGGACCUUCGGGCCUCUUGCCAUCGGAUGUGCCCAGA
Molecule: ribosomal RNA, 238 nt
Filed under: Enterobacter hormaechei
Lineage: Bacteria; Pseudomonadati; Pseudomonadota; Gammaproteobacteria; Enterobacterales; Enterobacteriaceae
Description: partial 16S ribosomal RNA
Source: RNAcentral